GAGAAUCUCAAACUCCUGGCACCUGAGAAGAGAAGUAAAAAAUCGUUCACAAAUUAUUGAUACACUAUAAGACCCUGCACGUCUCACCCUGUACAUGGAGACCACGCAAGAUCUGAGCUCAAUGCUAGAUGCUCCCACUUUAAGGAGUCUCCAUUUAAGGUCCAAUGCGACUGAACAGAAAGGAUAUGAAGAAGAGUGGCCCAGAUUUCUAGGAAAUAAGAAUGAAACCCUUCCAGUACUGUGAUGUCUUUGAGUUGAAUCAAAUCAUAGUUGAGAGGGCUGGAAGAUGAAUGGUGACUCAGCUGAGAAGAGACUGGUGAUCUUUUUAUCAUGAAAAUGAUUGUGGAAAGGGCUUUAGGGGUCCCAACUUUUUAUAUUGACUGUGAAGGACAGUUCGUGCUUGGUUUUCUGCAGCAUAGAGAGCUCGGGACACAGCAGGUGCAAGGAGGUUCCAGGACUGAAAGCUUUGGUGCUUCUCAUGGCUUGGAUAUCUCAGUGCCUUGGGUAAAGAAGAUGAAGGACCCUCCCUCGCUCAGGCUUUAGGAGCAGGAGCAAACUGAUGGCCCUAGUAUAAAAGGCUAGUGAAGUCUGCAGAGUUCCUGAGCGAGAAGGAUCUCUGAAAGCAUCUUGUUUCACAGAAGCUUCUUCUGUUCCUGGAAAGGGCUCUGGGGAAUCCAGGGAUCAGUGGUCCUGAUGAUCCCUGGGAGAAGGAUGCUCUGUUCCGGGAGAGUGUUCUGAGAGACCCUUCUGCAAAGCCGAAGUGCUGCAGAAGCCAUUCUUUCACGAGAGAUGCAGCACACAGUUCAGUCAAGAUUUGGUCUGCAAAAAAGCCUCCAAGGGAAAAUGGGCUCUUCGAAUAUUUGCUUUCACAGCUAGUCAUUUUUUUAUGUUUUAAAAUUCUUUGACAGUUUCAUAUAUGUAUAAUAAAUUUUGAUAAUUUUUAUUGUGCA
Mus musculus (house mouse) is the source of this 950-nucleotide long non-coding RNA. RefSeq annotates it as predicted gene, 35742. NCBI's taxonomy places the organism in Eukaryota, Metazoa, Chordata, Mammalia, Rodentia, Muridae. The record is from RefSeq and is marked validated. The transcript is spliced from 3 exons.